Long non-coding RNA from Erinaceus europaeus (western European hedgehog), 2629 nucleotides. RefSeq lists it as uncharacterized. The record is from RefSeq and is a predicted model, not a curated record. Lineage: Eukaryota; Metazoa; Chordata; Mammalia; Eulipotyphla; Erinaceidae. The transcript is spliced from 3 exons.
CCAGGAAGGAUGGGCGGCCCCCGCGGUGGCCCCUUGUACCCAGGCCCGGUGGCAGAGCCGCAGGCAAGGUCUCCAGACGCUCUGCAGAUUCCUGAGUAAUGCGCUGAGAAGAGGAGGAAGCCCUUCCCCUGGGCCAUCUCAUCCAGUCACCGUCAGAGUCUGGUCCCACCCUCUGGGAAAGGUUGACAAGGUCAUAGCUCCCACUACUACGGGGCUCUGCCUGCUCUGUGGAGGUAUGCGGGGGAGACACCGCAGAGGGCCACCCCCAACUCCCAGAGGCCCUAGCACAGUCCUCUCUGACCAGAUGCAACAGCUGCCUCUCUUCCUUGUGUGUCACUUUGGUCCCCAGAGAAGACCAAGGCCAUAACCAGUUGCCACACUCCACUCUCCCAACCUGGUUCCCACCCCCUAAGUGCUAGCGGUCCUUGCUCAGAAAGCACAGCCAGAGUCUCAGUGUGAGCACACAAAGAAGUUGCCAGAGCUAAAGGAAGGAGCUCUGGGCUGGGCAGACCAGCUGUAUCCAGGAUCACACCCUUCCUGUGAGGAUGCCAGGCAUGUGCUGGGCACAGAGCAACAACACAAGGAAGACAGCGGCUCUUCCAGCAGGCAGACCCAAGCUCACACUGUGAACAGAGGCAGCUGGGAGGUUAGAGCCAGGCCAGAUGGUGCCUUCAUCCUGGGAGAGAAGAACAGAAGGAAGGAAGGAAAUGGAUUGCACAGAGGUGGGUAGUGAUGGAGACCUUAGAGGGAGAUCAGGGACAAGCUUUUAGUUUCAGGCACAAGGGAAGGGGCAAAUGUAAAAAUAGAGGGGUUUGUUGGUUUUGCUUGCUUUAACCAGAGCACUGGAAACUCUGGCUUAUGGUGGUGCUGAGGAUUAAACCUUGGAUCUUUGGUGUCUUAGGCAUGAAAGAAAUGCCUUAUCCCCAACCCAUAAAAAUCGAAUUUUAAAAAUGUGAGGGACCUGGGAGUGGUGCACCCAGGUGAACUCAUGUUACAAAACACAGAACGCAGGUCCAAGCCCCCCGUCCCCACCUGCAAGAGGGGAAAGCAUCACAAGCCUUGAAACAGUGCUGCAGGUAUCUCUUCACACACUCCCCUCACUCUCAAAGCACAACAGCUAUGCAAACAGACUCUCAUGCCUGAGGCUACAAGGUCCCAGGUUCAGUCCAUCACACCACCAUAAGCCAGAGCUGAGCAGUGCUCUGGAAAGAGAAAGAGAGUGAAAGAAAGAGAUAUUACAUGUAGCUCCACACAGUACCCACCACCAAAGUUCUGUGCUCCCACCUGCCAAAAAGUCUUGCAUUUGCAUUUUCUUUAUUUUUUAGAUAAACAUUUUAAGCUUUAUUUUAUUUAGUGGAUAGAAACAGAAAUUGAGAUGUUUUUCUUUCUUUUUUUUUUUUAAUUUCUUUAUUGGGGAAUUAAUGUUUUACAUUCAACAGUAAAAACAAUAGUUUGUACAUGCAUAACAUUCCCCAGUUCCCCAUAUAACAAUACAACCCCCACCAGGUCCUCUGUCAUCCUUCUUGGACCUGUCUUCUCCCCACUCACUCACCCCAGAGUCUUUUACUUUGGUGCGAUACGCCAAUUCCAGUUCAGGUUCUACUUUUUUUUUUCUUUCUGAUCUUGUUUUUCAACUUCUGCCUGAGAGUGAGAUCAUCCCAUAUUCAUCCUUCUGUUUCUGACUUCUUUCACUUAACGAGAUGUUUUUUUCUUUUCCCUUCCCUUCUCUUCUCCUCUCCCCCCCCAUUUUUAAAAAAUGAGGGAGUCAGGUGGUAGCACAGAAGGUUAAGUGCAGGUGGAUCCCAGUUCGAGCCCCCACUCCCCACCUGCAGGGGAGUCACUUCACAAGCGGUGAAGCAGGUCUGCAGGUGUCUAUCUUUCCCUCCCCUCUCUGUCUUCUCCUCCUCUCUCCAUUUCUCUCUGUCCUAUCCAACAACAAAGACAUCAACAACAAUAAUAACUACAACAAUAAAACAAGGGCAACAAAAGGGAAUAAAUAAAUUAUUUUUUAAAAAUGAUGGGCAAUUGGUAGUCUACCUUGUUGAAUAUACAUGUUACUGUGCACAAGGACCCAGGUUCAAGCCCCUGGUCCCCACCUGCAGGGGGAAAGCUUUGUGCUGCAGGUGCCUCUCUGUUUCUCUCUAUAUAUAUUUCUCCCCCUCUUAAUUUCUCUCUGUCCUAUCAAAUAUAAGAAAAAAAUUAAUGGGAAGGGGGCAGUGUAGUGUAGGUAGUUAAUUCAGAUUUUUAUUUCUUGGUGGUGAGAGAAAGAGAAGUCCUGGAUAAGGACUGAGGAAGAAUUCAUUCAUGGAACAGGAACUUAAUGGUGAUGAAAAAGAUAUGCCCCUGCCUCCAAGGUGAUUACACUUAUGGACACAGGCAGAAGUAUACGGUGUGGGGGAGUUAGGUGGUAGCGCAGGUGGCACAAAGCGCAAGGACCCACAUAAGGAUCCUGGUUCGAGCCCUGGCUCCCCACCUACAGGGGAGCCGCUUAACAAGUGGUGAAGUAGAUCUGCAGGUGUCUAUCUUUCUGUCCCCCUCUCUGUCUUCCCCUCCUCUUUAUAUUACUCUCUGUCCUAUCCAACAACGACAACAGCAACAACAACAACAAUAACUACAACAAUAAAACAAC